CCGCCGACGGCCCCCCUGAACGCUGUCUGAAGUUGCAGUCUGAGACCUAUAACGAAAUUAGUUAAAACUUUCAACAACGGAUCUCUUGGUUCCGGCAUCGAUGAAGAACGCAGCGAAAUGCGAUAACUAAUGUGAAUUGCAGAAUUCAGUGAAUCAUCGAGUCUUUGAACGCACAUUGCGCCCUCUGGUAUUCCGGAGGGCAUGCCUGUCCGAGCGUCAUUGCUGCCCUCAAGCCCGGCUUGUGUGUUGGGCCCCGUCCCCCCCGCCGGGGGGACGGGCCCGAAAGGCAGCGGCGGCACCGCGUCCGGUCCUCGAGCGUAUGGGGCUUCGUCACCCGCUCUAGUAGGCCCGGCCGGCGCCAGCCGACCCCCAACCUUUAAUUAUCUCAGGUUGACCUCGGAUCAGGUAGGGAUACCCGCUGAACUUAAGCAUAUCAAUAAGCGGAGGA
Molecule: ribosomal RNA, 448 nt
Filed under: Penicillium sp. LH61
Lineage: Eukaryota; Fungi; Ascomycota; Eurotiomycetes; Eurotiales; Aspergillaceae
Description: eukaryotic LSU rRNA
Rfam family: 5.8S ribosomal RNA (bases 66-219)
Source: RNAcentral